RNAcentral lists this ribosomal RNA (718 nucleotides) under uncultured Actinomycetes bacterium. RNAcentral describes it as "bacterial SSU rRNA". It matches the Rfam family "Bacterial small subunit ribosomal RNA", at positions 67 to 798 of the family's 1533-position model. The record is from RNAcentral. Lineage: Bacteria; Bacillati; Actinomycetota; Actinomycetes.
CGAUGAAGUUCCUUCGGGGAUGGAUUAGUGGCGAACGGGUGAGGAACACGUGAAGAAUCUGCCCUCCACUUUGGGAUAACUCCGGGAAACCGGGGCUAAUACCGAAUAUUGAAACAUAAGUGGCAUCACUGAGUUUUGAAAGAAUUUCGGUGGAGGAUGACUUCGCGGCCUAUCAGCUUGUUGGUGAGGUAAUGGCUCACCAAGGCGACGACGGGUAGCCGGCCUGAGAGGGCGACCGGCCACACUGGGACUGAGACACGGCCCAGACUCCUACGGGAGGCAGCAGUGGGGAAUAUUGGGCAAUGGACGAAAGUCUGACCCAGCGACGCCGCGUGCGGGAUGAAGGCCUUCGGGUUGUAAACCGCUUUCAGCAGGGAAGAAGCGAAAGUGACGGUACCUGCAAAAGAAGCACCGGCUAACUAUGUGCCAGCAGCCGCGGUAAUACAUAGGGUGCAAGCGUUGUCCGGAAUUAUUGGGCGUAAAGAGCUCGUAGGUCGUUAAUUACGUCGGGUGUGAAAAUCUGGGGCUCAACCCCAGACCUGCACUCGAUACGGGUUAGCUAGAGUUUGGUAGGGGAGACUGGAAUUCCUGGUGUAGCGGUGGAAUGCGCAGAUAUCAGGAGGAACACCAAUGGCGAAGGCAGGUCUCUGGGCCAAUACUGACACUGAGGAGCGAAAGCGCGGGGUAGCGAACAGGAUUAGAUACCCUGGUAGUCCGC